Molecule: ribosomal RNA, 533 nt
Filed under: Hymenogaster luteus
Lineage: Eukaryota; Fungi; Basidiomycota; Agaricomycetes; Agaricales; Hymenogastraceae
Description: eukaryotic LSU rRNA
Rfam family: 5.8S ribosomal RNA (bases 216-370)
Source: RNAcentral
UGUUGCUGGCCCUCUCCAAGGGGCAUGUGCACACCCGCCAUUCUCAUCUCUCCACUUGUGCACAUCUUGUAGACUUGGAUAGACUUUCCGAGGCAACUCGGUCGGGAAGAAUGCUGCACUCAGCUUUCUUUGCACUUCCAAGCCUACGUUUUUCAUAUACCCCAUAGUAUGUAACAGAAUGUAUAAUUGGGCCCUAGUGCCUAUAAACCUUAUACAACUUUCAGCAACGGAUCUCUUGGCUCUCGCAUCGAUGAAGAACGCAGCGAAAUGCGAUAAGUAAUGUGAAUUGCAGAAUUCAGUGAAUCAUCGAAUCUUUGAACGCACCUUGCGCUCCUUGGUAUUCCGAGGAGCAUGCCUGUUUUGAGUGUCAUAUAAUUCUCAACCUUUAUCAGCUUUGCUGAUUAAUGGCUUGGAUGUGGGGGUUCUCUUUUGCUGGCUUCUUCAGAGGUCAGCUCCCCUUAAAUGCAUUAGCUGGUGCCCCGCGUGGACUGUCUAUUUGGUGUGAUAAUUAUCUACGCCGUGGAUGUCUGCAA